UAAAGGUAGAAAAGCGAACUUCGGGCUGCGUGGUGAGAAUCGGUUGUACCAAGUAGGAAAGGCUGCUUUCUCGGACGGCGGAAACUGUAUACGACGUCGUUUUAUUUACUACUUCGGCGAACCUGCAGCUCUCUCUACACAACAAACAAAAACAACUGCACCUAGUUUGCAAUGCCUUUACCACUUUCAAAGUAAACGGUGAAUGAACGUGGUAAAAUAAAAAAUGAACUUGAAGCAAAUUAACAACCUCAAUAAAAUAUUUCCCGACAUUUUCUUAGAGGCAAUAAGACGCAUGCUAAGACCCCAAUUGCGGAUGGGUAAAUAAUUUGUCACACCCAAUCAACUACAUACAUCGAACGAUGAAUUGAUGAUGAAAAUCGUGACCCGUUUAUAAGAAUGGAAUAUGGAUGUGUUUCGCCGAUGCUUUGUUGAACGUGAAUUCGUAGAAAUAACAGGGUAAUGGCGAUGCAUAAAACGAGCCUAUUGUUACGUGUACAUGAAAAGCCAAACAAGAGACACCAUCAAUGAUGAAUAUCGACGAGCGUGCUACAUUGUUACAGAAGGUAAAAAUAAAUGCAGCUCUCCAUUUUUUUUCAAUCUCUCUUUUUGUUGAGGAGUUGAUGAUGAAUUGCGUGCCUUGGUUGACGGACUUUACUG
This is a long non-coding RNA of Neodiprion virginianus, 657 nucleotides long. RefSeq lists it as uncharacterized. The record is from RefSeq and is a predicted model, not a curated record. The transcript has 3 exons. NCBI's taxonomy places the organism in Eukaryota, Metazoa, Arthropoda, Insecta, Hymenoptera, Diprionidae.